This 909-nucleotide ribosomal RNA is filed under the name uncultured bacterium. Its description in RNAcentral is "bacterial SSU rRNA". It matches the Rfam family "Bacterial small subunit ribosomal RNA", at positions 8 to 916 of the family's 1533-position model. The record is from RNAcentral.
AGAGUUUGAUCAUGGCUCAGGAUGAACGCUGGCGGCGUGCCUAACACAUGCAAGUCGAACGUGAGGGCAGAGACAAGCGCUUCGGUGUGAGUUUUUGUCUGAAAGUGGCGGACGGGUGAGUAACACGUGGGUAACCUGCCUUGGAGUGGGGGAUAACCAUUGGAAACGAUGGCUAAUACCGCAUGGGUCUGCGAUUACGGGAGUGAUUGCGGGUAAAGCUCAGGCGCUUCAAGAGGGGCCUGCGGCCGAUUAGUUAGUUGGCGGGGUAACGGCCCACCAAGGCUGAGAUCGGUAGCUGGUCUGAGAGGACGAUCAGCCACACGGGAACUGAGAGACGGUCCCGACUCCUACGGGGGGCAGCAGUGAGGAAUAUUGCACAAUGGGGGCAACCCUGAUGCAGCAACGCCGCGUGGAGGAUGAAGGUCUUUGGAUUGUAAACUCCUUUUUCUGGGGAAGAGAACGGACGGUACCCGGAGAAUAAGUCACGGCUAACUACGUGCCAGCAGCCGCGGUAAUACGUAGGUGGCGAGCGUUAUCCGGAAUUACUGGGCGUAAAGGGCACGCAGGCGGCCAUUCAAGUCUGACGUGAAAGCUCCUGGCUUAACUGGGAGAGGUCGUUGGAGACUGAGUGGCUUGAGGCGAUGAGAGGGGUGCGGAAUUCCCGGUGUAGUGGUGGAAUGCGUAGAUAUCGGGAGGAACACCAGUGGCGAAAGCGGCGCCCUAGCAUUGGCCUGACGCUCAUGUGCGAAAGCGUGGGGAGCGAACGGGAUUAGAUACCCCGGUAGUCCACGCUGUAAACGAUGAGCACUAGGUGUAGGCGGUGUCAAAGCUGUCUGUGCCGAAGCAAACGCGAUAAGUGCUCCGCCUGGGGAGUACGGCCGCAAGGCUAAAACUCAAAUGAAUUGACGG